This 580-nucleotide ribosomal RNA is filed under the name Propionigenium sp. B21-1. RNAcentral's name for it is "bacterial SSU rRNA". It matches the Rfam family "Bacterial small subunit ribosomal RNA", at positions 69 to 662 of the family's 1533-position model. Lineage: Bacteria; Fusobacteriati; Fusobacteriota; Fusobacteriia; Fusobacteriales; Fusobacteriaceae. The record is from RNAcentral.
UGGAUUCACCUUCGGGUGAUAGUACGGUGGCGGACGGGUGAGUAACGCGUAAAGAACUUGCCCUCUAGACUGGGACAACUGUUGGAAACGACAGCUAAUACCGGAUAUUAUGAGAACCUCGCAUGGGGAACUUAUGAAAGGCUAUAUGCGCUAGAGGAGAGCUUUGCGUGCCAUUAGGUAGUUGGUAGGGUAAUGGCCUACCAAGCCGACGAUGGCUAGCCGGCCUGAGAGGGUGAUCGGCCACAAGGGGACUGAGACACGGCCCUUACUCCUACGGGAGGCAGCAGUGGGGAAUAUUGGACAAUGGACCAAAAGUCUGAUCCAGCAAUUCUGUGUGCACGAUGAAGGUUUUCGGAUCGUAAAGUGCUUUCAGUAGGGAAGAAAAAAAUGACGGUACCUACAGAAGAAGCGACGGCUAAAUACGUGCCAGCAGCCGCGGUAAUACGUAUGUCGCAAGCGUUAUCCGGAAUUAUUGGGCGUAAAGCGCGUCUAGGCGGUCUUUUAAGUCUGAUGUUAAAAUGCGGGGCUCAACUCCGUAUUGCGUUGGAAACUGGAAGACUAGAGUAUCAGAGAGGUGGGC